RNAcentral lists this ribosomal RNA (347 nucleotides) under Amanita volvata. RNAcentral's name for it is "eukaryotic LSU rRNA". The stretch from base 1 to 105 matches the Rfam family "5.8S ribosomal RNA", at positions 50 to 154 of the family's 154-position model. Lineage: Eukaryota; Fungi; Basidiomycota; Agaricomycetes; Agaricales; Amanitaceae. The record is from RNAcentral.
GAAAUGCGAUAAGUAAUGUGAAUUGCAGAAUUCAGUGAAUCAUCGAAUCUUUGAACGCAUCUUGCGCUCCUUGGUAUUCUGAGGAGCAUGCCUGUUUGAGUGUCAGCAAAUUCUCAAAAGUCCUUUGAUUUGUUUUGGAGGGCCUUUGGACAUUGGGAGCUGCAGGUUUAUGAAGCCAGCUCUCCUUAAAUGAAUUAGCAGAGAAUAAGGUGAUUAUCUGUUGGUGUGAUAAAAUCAUUUGCACCAUGAAGCCCUUUAUGAUCUCUGCUUUGUAAUAUAUCUCUGUCUUUGAGAUAUUAAUUAACUGACUUGACCUCAAAUCAGGUAGGAUUACCCGCUGAACUUAA